AAUGGAUUUUUCACGACAUUGUUUUAUAUUAGAAUUUAAGGAAGGUUCAUCAUGACUUGCCUGGAACUCCUGAUGGACUCAGCUAUGCAAAUAUUGACUCUGAUUAUCUCUUAACCUCGUGUGCACCAUCAACCCACACAAAUAGAAACUAUGGCUUUCAGUUUGCUCAUCUUCGUAGUGAAGCCACUUCUAUUAAUCAGGUAUUUGCUCAGCAAAUGGAACUAUUCCGAGUAACCACUGGUAAUACUAGGGUUCAGUUCAUCAUGGGAAUGGAGAGCUGGAUUAUUCCUAUUAUGAAUGAUGACUUCUAGUAUCCAUUGUUCAGAGAUUUUCU
This is a long non-coding RNA of Rhododendron vialii, 334 nucleotides long. RefSeq lists it as uncharacterized. NCBI's taxonomy places the organism in Eukaryota, Viridiplantae, Streptophyta, Magnoliopsida, Ericales, Ericaceae. The record is from RefSeq and is a predicted model, not a curated record. The transcript has 3 exons.